UUUUUUUUAGAGAGAGAGAGAGAGAGAGAGAGAGAGAGUGGUAGCAUGUAAUACCCAACGCAAGUGGUAAAAGACUUAAUCAUUAAUAUCCGAGGACUCAAAUUUGAAGGCCAAUUGUUUUAUAUUUUCAACUAAAUUUAUUUUAAAAAAAUAAACGAAGCAGAUAAUAUGCUACCGUCCUUCCAAAUAAAAUACUUGAAAUUAUUGCAGUGUGUGUAAAAUGAGUCAAAAAUAGUAUUACAUGUCAUAAUUAUAAGUGAAAAGUUUAAAAGUGUUUAUCCAUAGAUUUGUACUAGGUGGAUAAUGCAAAUUAAACCAAUAAUUAAUUCAGAGAGAGAGACAGACAGACAGACAGAUGAUCCCAUUUGUGAUGUGAAUUAUUGUUCCCUCAUAUAAACUUUCUUUAGAGAGAAUGACGAUAACAUAUUUAGGCGCCGAUAUGAUUUAAAAUAUCUCCAGUAUAGUAGAUAAACCAACUUUUUACAAAGAAGUAUUACUUUAGACUCACCAACCGUUUCUAGAGCAAGUGGCAAAGGGCUUGGUGGUUGGUACCUGAGGUCCCAAAUUCGAAUCCUAGUUGAUUCACAUUUCUAGCUAAGUUUAUUUCUAAAUAAAAUAAACGAAGCAGGUAGCGUGCUACCUAUCUCUCUUUAGACUCAGGAUUAAAUUAACCCAACAUCGAUCAACUGAGUUAUGAGAAUCUAAAUUAACCCA
RNAcentral lists this long non-coding RNA (714 nucleotides) under Ananas comosus (pineapple). RNAcentral describes it as "long non-coding RNA (ACOM_LNC022937)". The record is from RNAcentral. Lineage: Eukaryota; Viridiplantae; Streptophyta; Magnoliopsida; Poales; Bromeliaceae.